This 253-nucleotide ribosomal RNA is filed under the name uncultured bacterium. RNAcentral's name for it is "partial 16S ribosomal RNA". It matches the Rfam family "Bacterial small subunit ribosomal RNA", at positions 524 to 776 of the family's 1533-position model. The record is from RNAcentral.
UACGUAGGGUGCGAGCGUUAUUCGGAAUUACUGGGCGUAAAGCGUGCGCAGGCGGUUUGUUAAGACAGAUGUGAAAUCCCCGGGCUCAACCGGGGAACUGCGUCCGAUACUGGCAGGCUUGAAUCCGGGAGAGGGAUGUGGAAUUCCAGGUGUAGCGGUGAAAUGCGUAGAUAUCUGGAGGAACACCGGUGGCGAAGGCGGCAUCCUGGACCGGCAUUGACGCUGAGGCGCGAAAGCCAGGGGAGCAAACGGG